This 358-nucleotide long non-coding RNA is filed under the name Dromaius novaehollandiae (emu). RNAcentral describes it as "lncRNA (ENSDNVG00000012922.1)". Lineage: Eukaryota; Metazoa; Chordata; Aves; Casuariiformes; Dromaiidae. The record is from RNAcentral.
CAAAGCAGACCCUCCGAGUUUGCUCACAGGAACAAGCUGGGGUAAAUGUUUAACUUGAGUCUGUGGAGUCUGUGGCUUCUACCUUUCUUUAUUAUUAACCCAACCCCUGUUUUUCUUUACAGUUGCACAGCUGCUGGCACACAAGAAACAAAAGGACCCUUGAAAUAACUUCCUUAUGGAGGCAUGAACAAAGCCCUGCCAACCUGUCAGUCCAGCCAUGCAAGAGAAAGAGAAAGGGAGAGAGACAGAGAAAAAGAAAGGGAAUGGAACAGGGAUUCUUUUAGAUCUCAGCAGACAUUAAGAUUUCCAAUGAACAGAGAAAACAAAUAGCCACUGGGACCACACAUGCGUUCUGUAA